RNAcentral lists this long non-coding RNA (470 nucleotides) under Phoenix dactylifera (date palm). RNAcentral describes it as "long non-coding RNA (PDAC_LNC020990)". The record is from RNAcentral. Lineage: Eukaryota; Viridiplantae; Streptophyta; Magnoliopsida; Arecales; Arecaceae.
AUAAUUACUUUAAUUAUUUUAUAAGAUAAUUUGCCAAUCGAAUUGACCAAAUUACUCCUGAAUGAUUCUUAAUCAUUCAUCAGCCUUCUUGAUCAAUCAGGAAUCUUCUAUGCGUGUGACCUCAUAGGUUCGAACCUAAGCCGGUAGUAUAGGAACGACUUCCUACACUAAUCGAUGUGACCAUCUAACAAUGGUACCCGACGUCCGAAUAGGCCGAAUAUAUGCGAAGCAAAUAUUCUGGAACCCUGAACUAUGGUUACUGUAUAAUUCAAUCCCUUUGACUCUUAAUGCCAGGAUGACUUAGAGCUCACUGUCAACCCUAUAAUUAGUACAUCCAUUAUGCGAUUAACUUUAGAUAUCCCGUGACUCCUCACUGGGAUUACCCUGGCCAAGGUUUUGCUAAAUUAAUCACAAGACAUUAUUCCUGUUUCCAGGAGGGGUCAAUUCCAUCUUGACUCACAACUGACUAC